GCACGCUUGGCCGAGAGGAUAUAGGCACUGGAUUGCAAAUCCAGAUACGCGGGUUCGAAUCCCGCAGUGUGCUCCA
This 76-nucleotide transfer RNA is filed under the name Sphingobium sp. Its description in RNAcentral is "tRNA-Cys". It matches the Rfam family "tRNA". Rfam says of the family: Transfer RNA (tRNA) molecules are approximately 80 nucleotides in length. Lineage: Bacteria; Pseudomonadati; Pseudomonadota; Alphaproteobacteria; Sphingomonadales; Sphingobiaceae. The record is from RNAcentral.